Molecule: ribosomal RNA, 497 nt
Filed under: uncultured bacterium
Lineage: Bacteria
Description: partial 16S ribosomal RNA
Rfam family: Bacterial small subunit ribosomal RNA
Source: RNAcentral
GAUGAACGCUGGCGGCGUGCCUAAUACAUGCAAGUCGAGCGAACGGACGAGAAGCUUGCUUCUCUGAUGUUAGCGGCGGACGGGUGAGUAACACGUGGAUAACCUACCUAUCAGACUGGGAUAACUUCGGGAAACCGGAGCUAAUACCGGCUGAUAUUUUGAACCACAUGGUUCAAAAGUGAAAGCCGGUCUUGCUGUCACUUAUAGAUGGAUCCGCGCUGCAUUAGCUAGUUGGUAAGGUAACGGCCUACCAAGGCAACGAUGCAUAGCCGACCUGAGAGGGUGAUCGGCCACACUGGAACUGAGACACGGUCCAGACUCCUACGGGAGGCAGCAGUAGGGAAUCUUCCGCAAUGGGCGAAAGCCUGACGGAGCAACGCCGCGUGAGUGAUGAAGGUCUUCGGAUCGUAAAACUCUGUUAUUAGGGAAGAACAUAUGUGUAAGUAACUGUGCACAUCUUGACGGUACCUAAUCAGAAAGCCACGGCUAACUACGUG